GCCUCGAUAGCUCAGUUGGGAGAGCGUUAGACUGAAGAUCUAAAGGUCACCAGUUCGAUCCUGGAUAAAGGUC
Molecule: transfer RNA, 73 nt
Filed under: Haemonchus placei
Lineage: Eukaryota; Metazoa; Nematoda; Chromadorea; Rhabditida; Trichostrongylidae
Rfam family: tRNA
About the family: Transfer RNA (tRNA) molecules are approximately 80 nucleotides in length. Their secondary structure includes four short double-helical elements and three loops (D, anti-codon, and T loops).
Source: Rfam by way of RNAcentral